AUGAUGAAGACUUGGUCAGACAGGCUGUCCUUCUGUAUCCUCUGGAGGUCCAUGGUGGACCUUGCUAUAGCAGGAACCCCUGUUUCAAGCCAGGCUAGAAGCAAGAUCUCCUCCACUGUUUGCUGCCGUCUUCCAUCCCUCAUCUCGUGCUGUGGCCACUUCAGAAGAUCCUGUGUUUCCCAACAGAAGUUCCCUGUUUCUACGCUCAGUGUUGUGUGCUCUGAAUACAUUGCCAUGAAGGACCAGAAGCUGCCCAGGAUCACAAAGCACCACCUUUGUAAGUUCUGAAAUGCCUAACAAAGGGUGUUACAGGGAUUCUUGUAAGCACUGUCCUGCUAGCACCCUUCUUUGAGGAGGAUGGAGACACUUCUGGUUUCAUUGCUCUUCUUUUGAGGCAGGUUUAGUCAUGGUGCAGAAGGCUGGAAGCUUAGACGUUGCGACUUAAGAGGACAAUAUGCAUGAAAUCCUUGGAAGGUUAAAAGUUCUGAAUAUGUGUCCUGUUAGUGAGUGUGGAAAAUUUUCAAUGCUGUCCUUGCCUGUCUUGUGAAAGCAUGUGAUGUAAUUGCUUCCCAUUAUCAGGAUUGUUGGUUUGCUUUUCCCUGCACACCUUGUUUUUGAACAUGGCUUCUGCUCCCAAUGCAGCUUGCAUCUGCUUUAUACAACCUCUGCUUACAGUUCAAAACUGCCUGCAGUCUUGAGCAGAGCCAAAAGCAAAGCACAUCCCGGCCACAGAGCGAUAUUGCCACAUGGACCGCCUUUGAAAUAACAACCUUGGUUUCUCACUUUGCCUAACAGUUUCUGUUUCAGGCCCUUUUGACCCAGUUUUCACAUAGCUCGAGAACUCAUUGCUCACUUUACUUUGUGUCUGCAAUAUGGCUCACUCUGUUCAGAGAUUUCCACUUGACCUUUCCAGUUUAACUUGCUGCUUUGCCAUCAGCCAACCAAAGGGCAAGCGUUGAAUUUGUUUAAGGUGUCAGGUUGCUAAUGUGGCCGCUGUUUGGCCAGUGGAUGUGCAGCCCUGCAGGAGUGUGAGGAAUGACUGGGAGGAUUUACUGCUUGCUGGUAGAAGGCAGUGCAUUUCAGAGCUUGAAGGCUUUGCAUAGAAGAGCCUGUGCCAGGAAUAUUAAAUAUUAUUCCAUGUUCAGAAAUAAAAGUCUGCAGAUCAUACUGAAUUUCUUUCUA
Molecule: long non-coding RNA, 1182 nt
Filed under: Zonotrichia albicollis (white-throated sparrow)
Lineage: Eukaryota; Metazoa; Chordata; Aves; Passeriformes; Passerellidae
Description: lncRNA (ENSZALG00000010575.1)
Source: RNAcentral